CUUGUUCUUGUUCUUGUUCUUGUUAUUUCCGUCGGGGUUUUCUUUGUCUUCGAAUCAAACAUCCAUCAUGAUCAAUCUCUCUCGGCUCCUUAACAACUCUGCCUUAUCAUGGGAUGUUAAGAAACAGCCAGACCCAUGUUCAUGGAAGGGGGUUAAUUGCAGCAGUGACAAUUCUUCUGUGAUCAGUCUUUCUUUAAAUGGGGUUGGUCUUUCCUCUUCUGGGUUUUUGUCUCUUGUUUGCACGAUUGAAUCUUUGCAAUACCUUGAUCUUAGUGUAAAUAAUCUUUCUGGGUCUAUUCCUCAUUCAAUUGGAAAUCUCACCAAGUUGAGGACUUUGAUUUUGUCUUCCAAUAAUUUGGUUGGUGAAAUCCCCCAGGCCAUUGCAAACAUCUCAACCCUGUCUCGGUUUUCAGCAAAUCAGAAUGGUUUUGUUGGUAGAAUUCCAAGUGGAAUUACAAGAUAUCUUAGCCUGUUAGAUCUUAGUUAUAAUAACUUAAAUGGUUCUAUUCCAUCAGAUCUUUUAUCGCAGUCGAAUUUGCGCACUGUGGAUUUGUCUUAUAAUCAUUUGGAUGGUUUAAUACCUGAAGAUAUAUCCCAAAGCUUGGUUAGACUGAGAUUGGGAAGCAACCUUUUCAAUGGGUCGGUCCCUUCUUUGUUCACUUUAAACCAUCGGUUGACUUACUUGGAGCUGGAUAACAAUAGCUUGUCUGGUGUAAUACCUGAUGGGUUAGCUUCUUGCCGGAAUUUGGCACUGUUGAAUUUAGCUCAGAAUAAUCUCAGAGGUCAAUUGCCAGUGGCAUUGGGUAAUAUUAGCAAUCUUCAAGUUUUGAAACUUCAAUUCAACAAGCUGGUUGGAGAAAUCCCUGUAUCAAUCUCUCAAUUACACAAGCUGUCAACUCUCAAUAUAAGCUGGAAUUCUCUUUCUGGCUUAAUACCUUCUACAAUUUCGAACUUGCAAAGCCUUGCUUACUUGAACUUACAAGGCAACUAUCUUAGGGGUUCGAUACCUGACAGCAUCAACUUCAUGAAUUAUCUGUUAGAACUCCAACUUGGACAAAAUCAACUGGGUGGGAGGAUUCCAACAAUGCCAGUGAAGUUGCAGAUUGCUUUGAAUCUCAGCAGCAACCUCUUUCAAGGGCGUAUUCCAAACACGCUUUCACGACUGGGUGAUUUGGAAAUUCUGGAUCUCUCAAACAAUAAAUUCUCAGGUGAGAUUCCGAGUUUUCUUACUCAGUUGGGAUCCCUAACACAGUUGAUACUCUCAAACAACCAGCUCACUGGAAUCAUCCCGGACUUCAAGCCAUGGGUUUCUGUUAAUACAAGUGGAAAUGUGGGUCUUACUAAUGUUACAAAAACAAACAAUUCCCCAGAAUUCAUGAAGAAGAGGAAACCACCUGUUUUGGUAGUUAUUCUUGCUAUUGGAGCUGCUGCUCUAGUUGGUGGGGUGAUCUUAGUUGUUGCUGUAUCGUUCUCCAGAAGAUUUCACAGGGUUAAUGAUCAACAGUCACAAUCAGGGGAAGAUCUUCCACUCUCUCUGGUCAUCCAAGGCAAUCUGUUGACUGCAAAUGCAAUUCACAGAUCGAAUAUUGACUUCUCCAAAGCCAUGGAAGCAGUUGCUGAUCCAUGGAAUAUUGUGCUAAAGACUAGGUUUUCCACUUACUACAAAGCCACCAUGCCUUCCGGAGCAAGCUACUUUGUCAAGAAGCUUAAUUGGAGUGACAAGAUAUUCCAAUUGGGAGGCCAUGAUAAAUUUGAUCAAGAGCUUAAAGUUUUAGGGAAAUUGAGCGAUUCAAAUGUCAUGACUCCAUUGGCAUAUUUAUUGACUGCUGAUAGUGCUUUUCUCUUCUAUGAGCAUACUCGGACGGGUACCCUAUUAGAUGUUCUUCAUGGUAAAGGGGGAAAUGCUUUGGACUGGGAAAGCCGUUACAGUAUAGCAGUCGGAGUGGCUCAGGGUCUUAACUUUCUGCAUGGACGUACUUCUGGACCGAUUCUCCUUCUUGACCUUUCAAGCAGAAAUAUUUUGCUGAAGUCCCUGAAGGAGCCUCUAGUAGGAGACAUUGAACUCUGCAAAGUGAUCGAUCCCGCAAAGAGCACUGGUAACCUUUCAACAGUUGCUG
RNAcentral lists this unclassified non-coding RNA (2117 nucleotides) under Hevea brasiliensis (rubber tree). The record is from RNAcentral. Lineage: Eukaryota; Viridiplantae; Streptophyta; Magnoliopsida; Malpighiales; Euphorbiaceae.